AUUUAAGCGAAGGAGAAACAGGAAGGGUCCCUUUUUCCCGUUUGCCUCCUCCAGCGGCAGAAUGUGAGCCACCGGCAACGAGGGACGCCAAUAAGGCCUCCGAUAAGGAAGACUUCUCCUUCUCUAGAAGCUACACUUCAAAAACUGAGGCCAAGAUUAUCCCAGCUGCAUGUCACACGGUCCUUGCCUCACCCCUGAAGAGGAGGGCAGAUAAAAUGGCACCUACUUCCUUCUCGGAAUUUCCUGGACUCGGUCCUCGUUCCCUGCUCCCAGGACUUGAACUCACACCUACCAUGUUGGAAGUGCCCUGAGACUAUUGAUAAAACAGCCUGCAGUCCCUGGAGAUGUCACUCACCAUAGGACACUUAACCUGAAUGCACGAGGCCCUAGAGUCUGUCCCCAGUGCAAUAAAUUAAACAUAGCGUAUUAAAACAGGCAGUAAAUUGA
RNAcentral lists this long non-coding RNA (447 nucleotides) under Cricetulus griseus (Chinese hamster). Its description in RNAcentral is "lncRNA (ENSCGRG00015042258.1)". The record is from RNAcentral. Lineage: Eukaryota; Metazoa; Chordata; Mammalia; Rodentia; Cricetidae.